GACCGUGCGGACUUAAGAUGGAGGCACUUCCUGUCUGCGGCGGGAAGAGAAGGCUCGGUCGGAGCCGGGAAUGCUGGGACUUGUACCUCCGCCGGUCACGGCCGCCGCCCCCAGCGACGUCACCCACACGCGCAGAAGCGGACGCCGCGGUCAAGAUGUCUCUGCCAUGCCCACGGGACGCACGGACGCACGGACGCACGGACGGACUCCACAAGGUAGGAAGCCUGCGCCGAGCGCACCGCCGCACCCACCACAGCACACAGGACACACGCGGGCCCCGCGCCCGCCCAGGCACACGCGGCACACACGGCACACACGGCAGGCAGGCCAGGCACACGCAUCCGCAGGACCCGCACCCGCCACGCAGACACGGACGAGCCGCCGCGGUCAAGAUGUUCACCCGCCGCGGUCAAGAUGUAUGUGCCACCGACCCUCGCCCCGCUGGACGGACGGACGGACGCGCGCACGCCGUCAGCGUCCACCGGUCACUGCCGCCGCCCACAGUGAUGUCACCCACGAAAGCACACACGUAGAAGCGGACGCCGUGGUCAAGAUGUCUCUGCCAUCCCCACAGGACGGACGGACGGACUCCACAAGGUGCGCGUGUCGCCGAGGCCGCCAGGACGGAGCGAUUCUCACGGAGGAAGGAGCACGCCAACGGGGCCUGACUGCGUACAGAAAUGUCCCCCUCAAUAA
RNAcentral lists this long non-coding RNA (696 nucleotides) under Mus musculus (house mouse). RNAcentral's name for it is "erythroid differentiation regulator 1 y". The record is from RNAcentral. Lineage: Eukaryota; Metazoa; Chordata; Mammalia; Rodentia; Muridae.